UACGUAGGUGGCAAGCGUUGUCCGGAUUUACUGGGCGUAAAGAGCGCGCAGGCGGUCGUUCAAGUCGCGUGUGAAAGCCCCCGGCUCAACUGGGGAGGGUCACGCGAUACUGAUCGACUCGAAGGCAGGAGAGGGAAGUGGAAUUCCCGGUGUAGUGGUGAAAUGCGUAGAUAUCGGGAGGAACACCAGUGGCGAAGGCGGCCAGCUGGGCCAUCCCUGACGCUGAGGCGCGAAGGCGUGGGGAGCGAACGGG
Molecule: ribosomal RNA, 253 nt
Filed under: uncultured bacterium
Lineage: Bacteria
Description: partial 16S ribosomal RNA
Rfam family: Bacterial small subunit ribosomal RNA
Source: RNAcentral